UAAAGCUGCACCAAGAAACAUUCCAAGGAUAAUACAGACUGCUCUUAAGUACCUGCUAUAUGUCAUCAUCUUCAUCAUCUAC
RNAcentral lists this small RNA (82 nucleotides) under Arabidopsis thaliana (thale cress). Its description in RNAcentral is "ATSL021770". Lineage: Eukaryota; Viridiplantae; Streptophyta; Magnoliopsida; Brassicales; Brassicaceae. The record is from RNAcentral.